Non-coding RNA from Acanthosepion pharaonis, 99 nucleotides. Lineage: Eukaryota; Metazoa; Mollusca; Cephalopoda; Sepiida; Sepiidae. The record is from the annotation of a GenBank genome assembly.
GUUGAAACACCCGUUCCUAUACGAUCACCGAAGUUAAGCAACGUCAAACCUGGUCAGUACCAAGAUGGAUGACCGCUUGGUAGUGUCAGGUGUUGUAAG